CUUCUUCUAAUUUUAGGGAUAUAUUAUUUUGUUUUGUCCAUGUUUGUUUUUGUUUAAAUCUAAAUUUUUUUGUUUCUAUAUAUUAUUCUCUAUGUUCUUCCUCAGUGUUGCUACUGGCAGUUGCUGCAUGUUCCAGGAUGUUGCUGUUUUGACUCAAAAUUUGUAAUAUAAGAUGCAGGAACAGUUGUAAAUUUUCAGACGCUGUGUUCUGGUCUACCAAGGAAUCCAUGGUUAAAAUAAAAAUUGUGAAAAUAAAAGGACAAAUGUAAAAGAUACUCAGUAAAAGUUGGCAAGGAGUUUAUGUUCUAUACUCUAUUUAUGCCUUUUUUGUUUUUUUUUUCUUAUAUUAGUCUAACUACUAGUAAAAACACCCUGGAAAACCAUAAAAAUAUUUAAUAGAUCCAAAAGUUGCUUCAUGAUGUGAGGAUAUGUACAAAUUAUAAUUAGUCAAUAUGCCCAGUGAUUAGUAUAUCAAAACAUAGAUUAUAUA
Vigna umbellata (rice bean) is the source of this 490-nucleotide non-coding RNA. NCBI's taxonomy places the organism in Eukaryota, Viridiplantae, Streptophyta, Magnoliopsida, Fabales, Fabaceae. The record is from RefSeq and is a predicted model, not a curated record.